RNAcentral lists this non-coding RNA (808 nucleotides) under Cechetra lineosa. Lineage: Eukaryota; Metazoa; Arthropoda; Insecta; Lepidoptera; Sphingidae. The record is from RNAcentral.
AAAAAAUUCUAUGUGAAAAAUUUUACAAAUAAAUAAAUUUUUUAUGGUUUAAAAAUUUUAUUUUAAGUUUGUUUUACAUGUAAAUUUUAGUGUUAUAUAUUGAUUAUUUAGAUAAUAUUUAAUUUUUAGUGCAGUAAUUAGUUUUAAAAAAUUUAAGAAAUUAAGAUUUAGUAAUGUUUUAAUUAAUAACUAAUUUUGUGCCAGCAGUUGCGGUUAUACAAAAAUUAAUUUAAAAUUUUUUAGUUUUAAUAAUUAAUUAAAAUUAAUAAUUUAAAUUGAAAAUUAUUAGGUGAAAUUUUAAUUUUAUAUAAAAUUAUUUUAUAAUUAUGAUUUAAUAAAUUUUAUAAAAAACUAGGAUUAGAUACCCUAUUAUUAAAAAAUUAAAUUUAAUAAUGCUAAAAUAGUAAGUAAUUUAUUGAAACUUAAAUAAUUUGGCGGUAUUUUAGUUUAUUUAGAGGAAUCUGUUUAAUAAUUGAUAAUCCACGAAUAAAUUUACUUAAUUUGAAAAUUUUGUAUAUCGUUGUUAAAAAAAUAUUUUUUAAUAGUAAUAAUAUUUAAAAAUUAAAAUAAUAAAUAAGAUCAGAUCAAGAUGCAGAUUAUAAUUAAGAAUAUAAUGGAUUACAAUAAAUUUAUUUAAAUUGGAUUUUAAUAUGAAAAAGAUUAAAUGAAAUUGGAUUUAAAUGUAAUUUUAUAAAAUUUUAUAAAAUGAUUAUUAAUUAAAAUAUGUACAUAUUGCCCGUCGCUUUCAUUUAUAAAUUGGAAUAAGUCGUAACAAAGUAGAGGUACUGGAAAGUGUUUCUAGAAAGAU